This 253-nucleotide ribosomal RNA is filed under the name uncultured bacterium. Its description in RNAcentral is "partial 16S ribosomal RNA". It matches the Rfam family "Bacterial small subunit ribosomal RNA", at positions 524 to 776 of the family's 1533-position model. The record is from RNAcentral.
UACGAGGGGGGCUAGCGUUGCUCGGAAUCACUGGGCGUAAAGGGUGCGUAGGCGGGUCUUUAAGUCAGGGGUGAAAUCCUGGAGCUCAACUCCAGAACUGCCUUUGAUACUGGCGAUCUCGAGUCCGGGAGAGGUGAGUGGAACUGCGAGUGUAGAGGUGAAAUUCGUAGAUAUUCGCAAGAACACCAGUGGCGAAGGCGGCUCACUGGCCCGGUACUGACGCUGAGGUGCGAAAGCGUGGGGAGCAAACAGG